AGAACAGUUCCUUAUACGAGACUGCCAGACUCUAAUAUUCCUCAUGUUGGAUAGCCCCUUACUUCUACUGAGCUCACUUGGGGCUAUUCAAGGACUAAGGAGCUAUACAGCAUGAGUUGGCAUAUUAGAAUCUGCUCCUAAAGAGACAUUUUAUGCCUAUGCUGGAUAGUCUUUGCAGUGAAAACCAUUUGAAUUAGAAACUGUUAAGACAUUCCUCCCAAGUACAAAGGUUGGAUUGCCCUAUGUUGCCGCUAAUCAAACUGCUGAGACAUAGUUAUUAACAUGUGGAUCCUAAAGCAUCACUCAUUCUCUUCUUGCAUUAGCUUAUUGUCACUUUUAGCUGUGACCUUGUGAAGAUCUUAUGAAUCACUUUUGUUUUCAGUUCCAUGACUUCAUUUUAAAACUAUGAAACAAUAAACAGUGCAACAAAGGACAGGGUAUUGGAGACAAAACAACAGAAGAAAAGCAGUAGGGCUGGAAUCAGCACAUCGGCUGCAGAAGCUUUUCAUCUGUGGGGAGGAUGGACAUGGGGUAUCCUGGACAUAUCUGAGACAUGAAAUGGUUAACAAAACUCCAGGCUCGCUCUCUCUAUUGGCCCAAGUCUGCACAGCCAUGAGCGUCUUCAACUCUAUCUCAAAAGGCUCUCAGCACCUUACAGGAUGGAACCCCCUCUUCGAGUCAGUUCAGUUUGCAGAGAUUUGGGAGCUGGAUGUCUUGGUGUGAUGCUGUUUGGUUUCUACUUUCAUGGGUCUCAUCUCUCAUCUCCCAGGAGGUUUGGAUCCAGGAUUGCAGUUUGGCCUACUGUAACAAUGAAUUAUUUUCACGUCCUUCUGCUUCCAGUUCUUCCCACACACUUUGUCUCUAGGAUCCCAAGUCUUUAACCUCUCCGUUGUUUGGCUCUUUCUAUCAGCUGCUUGGCCUUUGCUCCCCCCUCUUGGCUCUAGCCAACCUCUCUUUUCUGUAGGUGCCCCUAAGAUGUUUCACACUAGUGAGCACUAUGAUUUAGUCUGGUACAGUGGUUCUCCAAGCCAGUCUGCCACUUGUUCAGGGAAAGCCCCUGUCGGGCCAGGCCAGUUUGUUUGAACGCAACAGGUAAACAAACUGGCCCGGCCCGCCAGGGGCCUUCCCUGAACAAGCGGCGGACCGGCUUUGAGAAUCACUGGUCUAGUACAUAUACUUUUCAUGAAAUAAUGUCCUUCUUUAAACUCUCACUGACCUUUUAAGUCUUGGAUAAUUAAAACACAGGUGCAUUUUAAAAGAGUGGUUCAGCACAUCCAGCUGAACAUAGCACAAUCCACAUAACACACAAACCGGGGGUAAUCCGAUGAAAUUAAUAAACAAACAUAAGGAAGCACUUCUUUUCACAAUGCAGUCAACCUGGGGAGCUUGUUUCCAGGGGAUAUUGUGAAGGCCAAAAGUAUA
Non-coding RNA from Chrysemys picta bellii (western painted turtle), 1422 nucleotides. The record is from RefSeq and is a predicted model, not a curated record. Lineage: Eukaryota; Metazoa; Chordata; Testudines; Emydidae.